This 497-nucleotide ribosomal RNA is filed under the name uncultured bacterium. RNAcentral's name for it is "partial 16S ribosomal RNA". It matches the Rfam family "Bacterial small subunit ribosomal RNA", at positions 28 to 507 of the family's 1533-position model. The record is from RNAcentral.
GACGAACGCUGGCGGCGUGCCUAAUACAUGCAAGUUGAGCGAUGAAGCUUGGUGCUUGCCCCAAUUUGAAGAGCAGCGAACGGGUGAGUAACGCGUGGGGAAUCUGCCUUUGAGCGGGGGACAACAUUUGGAAACGAAUGCUAAUACCGCAUAAUAACUUUAAACAUAAGUUUUAAGUUUGAAAGAUGCAAUUGCAUCACUCAAAGAUGAUCCCGCGUUGUAUUAGCUAGUUGGUGAGGUAAAGGCUCACCAAGGCGAUGAUACAUAGCCGACCUGGGAGGGUGAUCGGCCACAUUGGGACUGAGACACGGCCCAAACUCCUACGGGAGGCAGCAGUAGGGAAUCUUCGGCAAUGGACGAAAGUCUGACCGAGCAACGCCGCGUGAGUGAAGAAGGUUUUCGGAUCGGAAAACUCUGUUGGUAGAGAAGAACGUUGGUGAGAGUGGAAAGCUCAUCAAGUGACGGUAACUACCCAGAAAGGGACGGCUAACUACGUG